UUAAAAAUUAGAAAUACUUCAAAUAUUUUCAAUAAACAUUUAAAGUAUUCCAAAACAUUUCAUACUUAAAAUUAGUUAACCUUCAAACUUAAAUACAACCUAAAAGAAUAUGUACUACAGUCAUUUGCUAUAAUACAACUUCAAGUCUCCAAAAGAAAAUAACGUAGUGCUAUUCAUGAGCACUCUCUAUCUUGAACCCUGUUGAGGAAAACAAAGGAGUGAAAUGAGCUAAACAACCUAGUGAGAUUCCAAAACACACAAGCAGUUCUAAUAAAUCAAGUAAAUUAAGCAUAACGCACAUAUGGGUCAAGGUUUCACAUUGACACAUUAAAAUAAGGCAUUUAUCAUUUUACAGAAAUAAACACACAUUAAAAGAAUAUGGUGUUCAUGUGGAACUAUUUUGGUCGGCUUCACCUUAUAACUCCAAUAAUUCUCUCGGUUUGUCUGGCCAUCACCUUAUUCCUCCAGUGGUAAUACUCGAGUAUACUGAAACGGUGACCCAGGUUUCCAACCUACCCAACCGAGUCUAGUCCUGGCUCGAGCAGGUUAGCAACCAAGGGUAGGGCCUAGUUCAGCUAAGAGCUUACAACAUGUGCAAAUAAUCAAAUAAACCGAUAAACGGUAGAAAUUCACAGUUAAACAGUAGAAAUUUGUUAUUUUAGUAGGUCGAGUAUGAUAAAGUACACACUCACCUUAAAACGGUGAAAAAUUACAUAGGAGCAAUUAUAAGGAGUACUUAACACUUAAACACACAAGAAAUAUGAAGUAAACAUGUAGCAAAACUAUUCAAGUCACACACACAUGUAAGGAACACUCACUGUUAUGUGCGAUAUGUCUCGGUUCCUGGAUAACACCCUUGAUUACCCUCGAGUCCUGAGGUAAGAACCAACAAGUUUAUAUGAAAGUGAAAAGCAAAACCUUAGGGUUUUCGCACUUAAGAAGUGAAGAAACAAGAGGUUGGUAUAUAAUUUUCAAAUGUAUAAUAAAGAAUAAAACAAGUCGUUAUAGCCUUGAAUCAAACCUUUUCAAAUUCAAAGUUCAAAAGUAAGAAUGAACCAUGAGAAAUCAAGUUCUGGGUCAAGAAUUAAGCAUAAUAAAGAAUAUUAAGGUUUCUCAUUUAAAUCCAAAGAAACGUCAAGUACAAGGGUUUGAGUGUAAUAUGGAGUACAAAUGUUAAUUUGAACUAAGAAAAAUGAAUGGAAUCAAGAAAAGUGAAGAAAAGAAAUACUAAAGAGAAAAUGUAUAGGUGAUAACUUUGUCAUGUGUUGGUAUUCUGAUCAUAACUAGGGCUAUACAAAUCAGAUUGAGAUCAUUUCUAUAUUUUUUUUGAAGCUAAGACACAGGGCUACAUUUCUUAUGAAGACAUCGGGUUCAAGAUUAGACGUCUUCAGGGUCAAAAAUGAACAUUUCAGAAGUAUAAGGAAAACGAUUACAGCAAAUCAGGGUUUUCACUGCAGACAAGGUCUUCUGGUCAUUUCAGAGGCUACGAUGAUCUGAUUGAUCUGAACUUUUGCAGGUAGAAAGCUGGCUCAAUACUCUACAAAUUUCAUGUUUUGAGCAAGAGGUGGUUUGGCCUAAACGAUGGACAAAUUCGGUGCUCAAAUGACUCUUAAAACCUCUCUAAACAGAAAGUUUUCAACUCCAGCAACCAACUUUGAAAAAAUCAAAACAGGGAUUUUGUAAGUCCAAAAAUCACCAAAUUUUGACACAAGAAAGUAGAUUUGAAGAGCUACAUAUUUCUAGAAGGUCACUUUAUAAGAUUCAGACCACAAACCAGUCAGAUUUUAACUAUACAAUACAGCAACUACAAAACUAAGGCAUAAUAGUCUCAAAAUUUAUCAAAUUUUGCAAAAUCACCAUAAAUCACACGGACAGAACCAGGGUCUGGAAUUUUCAUGGUUUAUAGCCCUAUGAAUCUAGUUUCAAAUCAUUAAAUAGAACUCAAUUUUGACCUUCCUACACCAAGAUACAACAGAUUUCCCAACACUGCUCUAGCUACCCUGUUUCGUACUAGCUUUGGUCACAGUACACAACUUCAUGCAAAACAACAAGAAAUCACCUACUAAAGCCUCAAUAAUCAUCAUGAACUUCAUACCACAGAUUAAAUACAACAUAGCAAGGUUAAUCAUGGUCAUAACUCUCAAUUCAAGUCUUGCAAAUUAACACUAUAAAGCUGAAAUUUUCACAACAUCACUUCAAACCAUGAAACCUUCUCAUAAAACUACCAAUUUUGCAACCAUAAGCCACUAAUUAGCAAAUAUUUGAAGUAGAGGGAAGUAUCUUGCCAAGUUACCUUGAACUUCCAAGAAAGAUGGAAACUUAGUGCUUUUCCACCAAAAAUCUCUCCACUCAAGCCCUUAAUCUUCCCUAGUGAAUAACUUUUAUGGAGUGGUUUGCAAAAUCUAUGGUUGGAACUCAAGAUUUAAGCAAGAAAUUGGUGGUUGAAGAUGAAGUUUCCUUUCCUUUUUCCCUCUCAAUGGUUUGGCCAAGCUAGG
Molecule: long non-coding RNA, 2495 nt
Filed under: Coffea arabica (coffee)
Lineage: Eukaryota; Viridiplantae; Streptophyta; Magnoliopsida; Gentianales; Rubiaceae
Description: long non-coding RNA (CARA_LNC004289)
Source: RNAcentral